AUUAGUGGCGAACGGGUGAGUAACACGUGAGUAACCUGCCUUACACAAGGGGAUAGCCUCUGGAAACGGAGAAUAAUACCCUAUAAAGUCUAAUCAGCCCAUGCUGGAAAGACCAAAGAUUUAUCGGUGUAAGAUGGACUUGCGUCUGAUUAGCUAGUUGGUGAGAUAAAAGCUCACCAAGGCGACGAUCAGUAGCCGGCUUGAGAGAGUGUACGGCCACAUUGGGACUGAGACACGGCCCAAACUCCUACGGGAGGCAGCAGUGGGGAAUUUUGCACAAUGGGGGAAACCCUGAUGCAGCGACGCCGCGUGAUUUAGAAGGCCUUCGGGUUGUAAAAAUCUUUUUUACGGGAUGAAAAUGACAGUACCGUAAGAAUAAGGUCCGGCUAAAUACGUGCCAGCAGCCGCGGUAAUACGUAUGGACCGAGCGUUGUCCGGAAUCAUUGGGCGUAAAGGGUACGUAGGCGGCCUAGUAAGUUAGAAGUUAAAGAAUAUAGCUCAACUAUAUAAAGCUUUUAAAACUGCUAGGCUUGAGAGAUGGAAGGGAAAGUGGAAUUCCUAGUGUAGCGGUGAAAUGCGCAGAUAUUAGGAAGAAUACCGGUGGCGAAGGCGACUUUCUGGUCAUCAUCUGACGCUGAGGUACGAAAGCGUGGGUAGCAAACAGGAUUAGAUACCCUGGUAGUCCACGCUGUAAACGAUGAGUGUUAGGUUCUUGGAAUAAUCUGGGAGCCGCAGCUAACGCAUUAAACACUCCGCCUGGGGAGUACGCACG
RNAcentral lists this ribosomal RNA (772 nucleotides) under uncultured Clostridia bacterium. RNAcentral describes it as "bacterial SSU rRNA". It matches the Rfam family "Bacterial small subunit ribosomal RNA", at positions 91 to 888 of the family's 1533-position model. Lineage: Bacteria; Bacillati; Bacillota; Clostridia. The record is from RNAcentral.